AAGUAGGCAGAGAGGCAGGCAGAGAGAGAGAGAGGGAAGCAGGCUCCCUGCUGAGCAGAGAGCCCGAUGCGGUACUCGAUCCCAGGACCCUGAGAUCAUGACCCAAGCCAAAGGCAGAGGCUUAACCCACUGAGCCACCCAGGCACCCUAUUUUUUCUUUUUAAAGAUUUAUUUAUUUUAGCGGCGCCUGUAGGCUCAGUUGGGUAAGUGUCUGUCUUCAGCUCAGGUCAUGACCUCGGGGUCCUGCGAUUGAGUCCCACAUUGGGCUGUCAGCUCAGGGGCGAGUCUGCUUCUCCAUCUCCCUCUGUGAUCUCUCUCACUUGCAUGCUCUCUCAAAUAAAUAAAUAAAAUCUUUUUUAAAAUAAUUUAUUUUAGAGAGAGUGAGAGCAUACAAGCUGGGGGAGGAGCAGAGGGAGAGAAAGAAUCUUAAGCAGACUCCACACUGAGCAUGGAGCCCCACACAGGGCUUAAUUUCACAACCCCAAGAUCAUGACCUGAGCCUAAACUUAGAGUCAGACACUCAACCUACUGAGCCACCCAGGUGCCCCUCCCUUGCCCAUUCUUUAAUGAGUGAUUUGUCCUUUCAUUAUUGAGUUCUAAGAGUUCUUUUAUAUAUUCUACAUACGUCUCAUCAGGUAUAUGAUUUAUAAAUUUGUUCUUCCAUUCUCUGGGUUGUUUUUACUUUCUUGGUGGUGUUCCUUGAAGCACAAAUGUUUUUAAUUUGUAUGAAGUCCAAUUUGUUUAUUUUUUAUUUUGUUAUUUGUGCUAUUGGUUUCAUACCUAAGAAAUCAUUUGCCUAAUCCAAGAUCACAAAGAAUAACACCGGUGUUUUCUUCUAAAAGUUUUCUAGUUUUGACUCUUACAUUUAAAUCUUUGAACCAUUUUGUUUAUUCUUAUAUAUAUGUGAGGUAAAUUAAUAUUUUUGCAUGUGGAUAUCCCAGUUAUCCCAGCACUUUAUUGAAAAGACUACUUUCUCCAUCAUUGAAUUGUCUGGCACCUUUGUCAAAAAUCAGUUGUCUGUGGGGCACCUGGGUGGCUCAGUCAUUAAGCGUCUGCCUUUGGCUCAGGUCAUGAUCCCAGGGUCCUGGAAUUAAGUCCCACAUCGGGCUCCCUGCUCAGCGGAAAUCCUGCUUCUCCCUCUCCAACUCCCCUGCUUGGGUUCACUCUCUCACUGUGACUCUUUCUGUCAAGUAAAUAAAUAACAUCUUUAAAAAAAAAAAAUCAGUUGGCCAUAAGUGUAAGGUUCAGUUUCUGGACUCAGUUCCAUUCCAUUGGACUAUAUGUCUGUCUUGUACCAGUUCAUACUGUUUCAAGUAUUGGAGUUUUGAGUAAGUUUUGAAAUCAGGAAGUGUAAGUCCUAUAGCUUUGUCUCUCAAGAACAAUUAGUUUGAGCACUAGGGUAUCUUUAUCAUAUUAAAAGUACUACAGGAUGUCUUAAGUAGCAGGGACACUAGUAAGCCUUUCUAUUCUUUCUGAUGAGAAACUUCCUUAUUUCAGAACUAUUGAUCAUGUACCACUAGACUGGACUUCAUGAUAUGUACCUUUAAAUACUGCUUUAUUUUUCUGAAAAAAAUCAAAGAGUAAGACUUUUUUUUUUUUUUUUUAAUCAGGGUGAGGGAAAUACAUUCUUUAUCUUAGCUAAAGUCCAAGGAACUUUAGCUAAAAGCUAUUUUUUUAAAAGAUUUUAUUUAUGUAUUUGACAGAUAUCACAAGCAGACAGAGGCAGACAGAGAGAGAAAGAGAGGAGGAAGCAGACUCCCGCUGAGCAGAGAGCCUGAUGUGGGGCUCGAUCCUAGGACCAUGGGAUCAUGACCUGAACAAAAGGCAGAGGUCUGCUAAGUAGCAUAGAGUGGUGGUUAACAGCAUGGGCUUAAACCAGAUUUUCAAGGUUUGAAUCCUGACUCUACCACUUUUAGUGGUGAGACAUUGGAGAAAGAGAUCGAGAGCACAAGCAGGGGAGCCACAGGCAGAGGGAGAAGCAGGCCCUUCACUGAGCAAGGAGUCUGAUGCAGAACUCAAUCCCAGUACCCCAGGAUUCCAGAAUCAUGACCUGAGCAGAAGGUAGACACCCAAUCGACUGAGCCAACCAGGUUUCUCUAUCUAUUCAUCUCUUGAUGGACAUUUGAAUUUUUUCCACCUUUUGGCUAUUGUGGAAAAUGCUACAAUGAUUAUUAUCAUACAAGUAUCUGUUUAAGUCUCGGUUUUCAAUCUUUUGGGUAUAUACUUGGGAGUGGAAUUGCAGGGUCAUCUGGUAAUUGUCCAAUUUCUUUUUGAGAAACCACCAAACUGUUUUCUAUAGUAGCCAAACCACUUUACAUUCCUCCUAGAAAUGUACAAGAUCUCCAAUCUCUCCACACCCUCAGCAAUAUUUUUAUUUUCUGGCUGUUGUUGUUUUGGGUCUUGUUGUUGUUGUUGUUGUUAUAGCCAUCCUAGUAGAUGUCAAGUGGUAUCUCAUUAUGGUUUUGAUUUGCAUUCCCAAAUGACUAAUGAUGUUGGACUUCUUUUUGUGUGCUUUCAGUUUUCAUCUUUUUGGGAUGAAUGUAUUUUCAAGUCUUUAAUUCACUUUUCUUAAGUCUACUUAUUUAUGUCAUUUCUAUCCAACAUCAGGCUCACAUACCCAGGAUCAAGAGCCAUAUGCUCUUCCAACUGAGACAGCUAGGUGCCCUUAUAGUUCAUUUUUUAAAAAUUAUAUUAUUUGUCUCAUUACUAUUAAGUUGUAAGUGUUUUCUAUAUAAUCCACAUGGAUUCAUUUACAGAUAUAUUAUCCUCAAAUAUUUCUUCCCCUUUUUUAGGUUGUUUUUUCACUUCCUUGGUGGUAUUAUUUGUAGCACAAAAGUUUCUAAUUUUGAUGAGCCUAGUUUAUCUAUUUUUUUAUCCAUUUAUCACUUGUGCUUUUGGUGUCAUAUCCAAGAAUUCAUUGCCUCACCCAAGGUCAUAAAUACUUCUGAAUUUGCUUCUAACUGUUUUAUAGUUUCACCUCUUAUAUUUAAGUCUACAAGUUAUUUGAGUCAAUUUGUUUGGACGGUAGUGAGGUAGAGGUCCAACUCCAUUUUUUGUAUGUCAGUAUCCAGUUGCUUCAGCACGAUUUAAUUGAAAAGACCAUUUUCUCCUGAGUAAAUUGUCUUGGCACUCUUGUCAAAAAACAAGUGGAUAUAACUGUAUGGAUUUAUUUCUGAAAUUUUAAUUCUCUGGCAACUGAUUUUUGUUAAAAUCCAAAAGUAAUUUGGUGGAGAAAGGAUAGUUUUUCAGCAAAUGGUGCUGGCACAAGUGGCUAGUGCUGUGCAAAAGCAAAACCAAAAAACCUUCAAUAUAUAGCUUACUAUCUAUAUCUUGCAUAUCUCAUAUAUAAAUGACAUAUAUUAAUGGCAUGUAAAUUAUAUUUCAAAAAAACUCUUAAAAAUUACAUGUAUGGCUGGAAUUAUAUUUUUGUUGUACAGUAUUGUUUCAGAGAAACACAGCUUGGUGCAAAAUAUGGGCCAGAGUAAGUAGGACAUCGUAGGGCUCAUUAUAUGCCUUCCCUGCUUAUUAUAAACACUCCAUGGAAAUUUGCUCAUUAUUAACAUAAGACAAGUGUUGCAGCCAAUAAAAAUUAUUAGAGGUGAUUUUUUUGACCCCAGGAUUUAUUAAAAUUAUCAUGUGUAAAAGAUUUUAAAUAACCCGUUUACAUUUGCUAAGUCAUAAUUAGGCUCUCUCAAGUUAGCUUGAAUGUACAAAUUACUUUCAAGUCUUGGAUAGUUUUUGUCUUUAGCGAUUUUCAUGUAAUGACUAAGGAUGCCAUCCCCGCUCCGCUCCAUUUACAUCAGAGUUUUCUUUCCAUCUUGUCAGACUGCUGCCUUGGGAAAGUUCAGGCAGAAGCAAGCUUUCUAAUCAAGUGCCACCUAAUGGUGUCUCAAUAUUUGGCUGUCUCAAAUCUUUCAAUCCACCAAAUGAAUUUUACUGAGUUUGAUCCGAGAAUCAAAUGACUUUAUGGUCAUAAACUGAAACAUGAUGUCUGUGUGAGUUUUUGGGCAUGAUGAUGACUGGCAGUUUAUUUUUUCCAAAAGGAAGGAACUGUCUUCCUUUUCAGGGGAAAAGAUGAUCCUAAAAUAUCCUGUAUAGAAAAUAAAGAAAUGAAAUGAAAGCUUUUUUAAGUAUAACAGUCGCACAGAGUGCAAACCCUAAUCCCUGAAAACUGGGAGCAUAUUAUAUAACAUGGCAAAAAAGACCUUGCAGAUGUGAUUAAGGUUACCGACUUUAAAAUAAGGACAUGAUUCUGGAUGAUCUGGGUGAGCCUUUAAAAGCAAAGGACUUUCUCCAGCAGGAAGUAGCAGACAUGAGGCCAAAAGGGAAGUCAGGCAGAUUUGAAGCAUGGGACGGACUCAGUGCACCAUUGCUGGCUUGGAAAAUGUAGAAGGAUGUGAGAAGGAAUCCAAGAAACCUUAAGGAGCUGAGAGGGGCUCCAGGGUUCUAAGCUGACUGCCAGAAAGGAAACAGGGACUUCAGCCCUCCAACCACAAGGAAGAGAAUUUGACUGUCUACCAGAAUGAACUUGUUAGAGGAUUCUUCCCCAGAGCCUCCAGUAAGGAAAAAAGCCCCCCCAAGAUGCUGGAUUUGGGCAUUUUGAAAUCUGAAGGGAAGUACCACCAGACCGAGGACUGCAGAACUGUAAGAUGUGUAUUGUUUCAAGCUUCUAAACUCUGCCAAUUUGUUACAUGGCAGUAGAAAAAGCCAAUACAGAAGAUAUCAGGAAAAGAUUUAGGAAUCCCGUGCAGUUAAAAAUUCUUUGUCAGGGAAGGCAAGGGGAGUGGUGCUUAAAUUUUAAAAUUGGACAACACAUUCAAUACCGAUAUUAUGAGAGGGAUCCUAUCGUAUCACAGAACUCGGACUUUUGGCUCGCAAGUUGGCUCUGACAUUGGACUCUGCAGCAGGCAUGGAACUGGCCUGAUAGACUUAGCUACAGCUGUACAAAUUCAGAAAGAUGCAGAGGAUAAAGACAAGAAGUGGGAGACACUGGACUUGUAUUCAUGUCUCAUGUCUGUGGUUUAGUUUCUGUGGGGGGCCUCUACAAGAAAGGGACCCCACUGGUGCUGCUUUCUGCCCCCUCCUUGCUGUCACUGGCGUUUUCUACUCACUUCAUACCAAGCCAAUUGAUCACCCCUGUCUCCAGUCCUCAGUCCAGUGUGGCACCAACCAAGAGUAUUGGAAAGCUCUAGAAUGGGGGUAUACUUGGUGUCCUCCCUGGAAAAAAAGCCAGUCCUUCCAAGAAGUCCACAUAUAAGUCCAGUGUUCCUCAGAGAAGGGGCAGGACCAAAACAUGAAGUGCAUUUCUUGCCAUCUGACUUAAUGCUGUAUAAAUCUUCAUUCUGUCUUGUUUCCAUAAAUUCUUCAAAGAUCCAAGACUCAGGAAACCUGGAGCCUUUUCCCAAGUUUAGUCUUCCAGCUUGAACCUAAUGAUUUAAUAUGAUUGUCAAGGAAUAAGAAUGAGACAUUUAGUUGAAAAUAGAACUGCCCUAUGACCCAGCAAUUGCACUACUGGGUAUUUACCCUAAAGAUACAAACGUAGUGAUCCGAAGGGACACGUGCACCCGAAUGUUUAUAGCAGCAAUAUCCACAAUAGCCAAACUAUGGAAAGAACCUAGAUGUCCAUCAACAGAUGAAUGGAUCAAGAAGAUGUGGUAUAUAUACACAAUGGAAUACUAUGCAGCCAUCAAAAGAAAUGAAAUCUUGCCAUUUGCUACAACAUGGAUGGAACUAGAGCGUAUCAUGCUUAGCAAAAUAAGUCAAGCGGAGAAAGACAACUAUCAUAUGAUCUCCCUGAUAAGAGGAAGUGGUGAUGCAACAUGGGGGCUUAAGUGGGUAGGAGAAGAAUAAAUGAAACAACAUGGGAUUGGGAGGGAGACAAAACAUAAGUGACUCUUAAUCUCACAAAACAAA
This is a long non-coding RNA of Mustela lutreola (European mink), 5913 nucleotides long. RefSeq lists it as uncharacterized. The record is from RefSeq and is a predicted model, not a curated record. The transcript is spliced from 3 exons. Lineage: Eukaryota; Metazoa; Chordata; Mammalia; Carnivora; Mustelidae.